GCCUGGGUGGCUCAGUCUGUUGAGCAUCUGACUUUGGCUCAGGCCAUGAGUUUGCAGUUCGUGGGUUCGAGCCCUUCAUCGGGCU
Molecule: transfer RNA, 85 nt
Filed under: Felis catus (domestic cat)
Lineage: Eukaryota; Metazoa; Chordata; Mammalia; Carnivora; Felidae
Also listed under: 2 other names
Rfam family: tRNA
About the family: Transfer RNA (tRNA) molecules are approximately 80 nucleotides in length. Their secondary structure includes four short double-helical elements and three loops (D, anti-codon, and T loops).
Source: Rfam by way of RNAcentral